Molecule: long non-coding RNA, 1453 nt
Filed under: Microcebus murinus (gray mouse lemur)
Lineage: Eukaryota; Metazoa; Chordata; Mammalia; Primates; Cheirogaleidae
Description: lncRNA (ENSMICG00000048503.1)
Source: RNAcentral
GUUUAAGAUAAUUUGAAGUUAUUUGAGAUCCUGUGAAGGCCUGUCUACUUCUGCUUCAUCUUCUUCUUAGGGCAUAACCUAAAGUGAGAAGAAUUUUCCAGCAGCAACACUGCCGCUCGCCUACCCAGCAGGCCCUGGACUCCAAGGCCCAUCCCUCUAAUUCUGAGAGAUUGUCAGAAUUCUCAGUCAGCUUCUCAGUGAUCCCUUGAAGGAUAGGCUCAUGCUACGAGGAAAAAAGCAACUCCCAACUUCAGUUCUACAUCAUUCCUCAGAUCCUGGUCUAUAAAUUUUCACUACCUUGUUAGCUCUCCAUUGCCAUCAGAUAGUUUUUAAUAUCUCGUGUAAUUGUUCUAGCUGUCCUCUGGAAGAUUUGUCCAAAGCGUUUGAUAUUAUUGGAGGCAGAAAUUCCAAACUGAAAAUGUUUAUGCAAGCUUGCCAAGGCAUGACAUUACCAUUAUCAAUAAUUAAUAACAACAAUAAUAAUGAUAAUAGUGAAACCCACCAACUUCUGAAGUUACCUGGAAGAUAACGACACACAGGAAGGAAGACAGUAAGCCUCACAUCUGAGCCACAGCUGCAGACUUAUUUUGAAGCCUUCCUUGUUGUGUCUCCCUGUUUUUUCAUCACAUCUUUUCUGCAUUAUUUUCAUUGUUUCAAAUCCAUAGUUAAUAUUUUCAUCCACCAUGCUAUUAUUUUUGAAUCAUCUUUUCACUUUGAUCAUCUUUAAUCCCCUAAGUUUGAAAUGGUAAAAAUGGAAAUGGACAGGUGGUCUCCUUCCCAUCACCAACCAUGCCUGCCCUGUUUCCUUCUGUUAGAAGCACCACUUCCCCUCUCAAGUGCCCUGGGUCCCAAUUUUUCUCUUUGAUCAUAGGGAACACCAUUGUCUACCCCCAGCCAGUAUGGCUUUCCUGAAGCAGGAGCCACUUCCCAUCAAUGCUAGCUGAAGCCAUAGGAUGGACCACAGCACUGGGAGAGACUACGGAAGUCACGGUAUGGGAUUAUCUCAUCCAAUAAUUAAGGAAACACAUCUGGAAAGGUUAAGAAUAAGAUGUCAUUUCUUACACAGUUGCACUUGGGGGAUGUUUCCAUAUAUUUCAAGACCUGAUAGACACUUCAGGCUCCCAUGGAAGAAUAUUUUUGAGAAGCAAUUGAAGUUCCUCCCAGGUUGCUCAUUUCUCAAGUAUGUGGAGAGUAAAUCCUGUUUCAUCGGGUUCCAGAGGAAGCAUUCGGAGGGAGUUCAUAGCAAAGCUUCCUGUCUGUUGAAAUGACUUCCCAGUGGCAGAAGCUGUAUUGUGGGUUUUGUUGCCACGUCAUCUCUUGGGCACCAUGGCUCUGGCGCUGGCUUUCUGUUGGUACCAGUGGCCCUGGCACAAGGUCUGUGAAGGAGCCUGGCACUUCAGUCCCCUCCUUGAUCCCCGGGAGGCAUUUAGGGUCCAUGUUUUCUGUUGCUUCA